GAACACGACGGCUCCAGGUCUGGUGUCCGCUGCCCAGCAUCCGGCGUCAAGCAAUAUAUAUCCACUGAUCAGGUUGAUUAGAACCCGGUGCGCGGCCGUGGAAGCUAAAGCUAGGCUGCCGUGGUUCCAGCAGAAAUCCACCGCUGGGGAGCGAGGGCCCCAGGCCCCAGCAGCGUCGUUGGCCACCCGUGCCAACAAGCUCCGACCGGCGGGUGAAACGAUCUCAUGAUUCAGCGAUAAGAACACGACGGCUCCAGGUCUGGUGUCCGCUGCCCAGCAUCCGGCGUCAGGCAACAUUGUUGACGCCGGAUUUUGGCCGACAAAUCCAAGUAAUUCGGAGUGAGAGAAUACGAAGCGGUGUUAGGAUCAAAGACCGUCAGGUGCAGUGAAUUCUUUCCUUCAGGGCAAGCAUGCAAGAUCUGCGUAAUUGACGGGGCUGCCGAAUCAACUGUACGUGCCUACAAGAAUUGGUUAUUUGGCCAGAUAAGCAAAGAAGGAAGUCAUCCUCGUGCAAGACAUGGAAUCGAUGAGCUCUAAUGCAAAGGCUGGCUUCAUCGGAUUGGUUAAGCAAGGCAAUUAGAAUAAAGAAAGGCAAGGAUGGCAGGACAACACGUGUUAGCAAGGUCUCUUGUUAAGUCCAUGUAUCUGGUAUUUCCUUUUGUUUAGAUAUUUUUUUAGGUAAGUUUUGUACUAUGUAACCAGUCAUUAGUUCAGAUAUAAAUAUGUACCCGGUCAUUAUAGAAUAAUCAACAAUUAAUCAAUAUAACCUUUCGGCGCAACGCCGUCGAAACCUUAGAAGUAGGAGUAGAGUAGAUUCGACGAGUUCCUUCUAGCGCGCAAGGCUGCAUCGACUUCGAUCUCGAGUGAGCUUGUAAGUACCAUCACCCGGUCAUUACGACCUCUAUCAGAACUUUUUAAGUUAAG
RNAcentral lists this long non-coding RNA (924 nucleotides) under Setaria italica (foxtail millet). RNAcentral's name for it is "long non-coding RNA (SITA_LNC000600)". The record is from RNAcentral. Lineage: Eukaryota; Viridiplantae; Streptophyta; Magnoliopsida; Poales; Poaceae.